RNAcentral lists this ribosomal RNA (169 nucleotides) under uncultured Alphaproteobacteria bacterium. RNAcentral describes it as "partial 16S ribosomal RNA". It matches the Rfam family "Bacterial small subunit ribosomal RNA", at positions 338 to 524 of the family's 1533-position model. Lineage: Bacteria; Pseudomonadati; Pseudomonadota; Alphaproteobacteria. The record is from RNAcentral.
CCUACGGGAGGCAGCAGUGGGGAAUAUUGGACAUUGGGGGCAACCCUGAUCCAGCAAUGCCGCGUGAGUGAUGAAGGCCUUCGGGUUGUAAAGCUCUUUCGCACGCGACGAUGAUGACGGUAGCGUGAGAAGAAGCCCCGGCUAACUUCGUGCCAGCAGCCGCGGUAAU